Acanthosepion pharaonis is the source of this 114-nucleotide non-coding RNA. Lineage: Eukaryota; Metazoa; Mollusca; Cephalopoda; Sepiida; Sepiidae. The record is from the annotation of a GenBank genome assembly.
UACGACUAUAUCACGUUGAAACAAGGUUUCUCGUACGAUCACCGAAGUUAAGCAAGGUUAAGCCUUGUCAGUACCUAGAUGGGUGACAACUUGGGAAUAUCAGGAACUGUAAGC